AUGCCACCGCUCGCCACGAUGGCAGUCUUGUCAGCGUCGCUUGCCACCGCGCACCGCUGGCUGCACAGCCUCUUGCCACGCGCGCCUGGAAAGGCCCCAGGGCGAAACGUUGGUGGAUGUGCUGGAGCGUGGGUACAGAGUGGUAGCUUGCCGUGGCAAGCGCCUUGCCGCGGUCAUUGUCUUGUCGCGUCCGGAAGCUUGUCGCUCACCGGGCCUUGCCGGGAUGUGUGGCGCAUCGCGACAAGUUCCUUGAGAUGCCUUGGUUGGCCUUCCCGGCAAGCUCCUCUUGCCGGGGCCUUGUCUCUUUGGCUUGAAUACUUUGUCCUUGAAUGGCUCCAAAGGAACCACGGAGGACCUUGGCGGUCACCCGGCAAGCCUUGCCGCGGGGUGCUGCGACUCCCCGUGCACAAGUUCGGGAUACUAGGGUACCCCUACUCUAGUACACCGACAGGAGCCCCCGGGCCUGGGCCACACAUGGCGCCGAGUGCUGUUGGGCCAGGCCCAAAACAGGGCACGGGCACGCGCGGCCUGGGUUACGCCGUAUCUUACUCCGUAUCCACCGCGCCCUACUCGAACGACAAGCGUCCAAUGCGGCGUCGUGGGAGAGAUCGUGGGUGGUUUCUUUAUUCGGAAAGACGGAACGCCCACCCCCACCCUCUUUAUAAGCAGGGGAAACAGGGGCAGUUCGCCCAUCUCGCCAGUUGCUACUCCAAUCUCAGAAAUCUCUGCCGCUCCCCCCUUCUUCCCAAAGCUGAAAGAGAGCAGCGCUCCGCCCCCCCAUCGCCACCAGCAUCACCAACGCCGUCGAUCUCCCCCACCACCUCCACCAUGGCUCCGAAAUCCGACAAGGGGAAGGUCGUGAAGUCGGCCGAGGCACAACGGCUCGCGGCGCUGCGAAAGGAGCGGGCAAUCUCCCCCCCCCAGCUCGCCGCGAAGGAGCUGAGGGAGUACUACUACCUCUUCUGGUCGACGGAGACGCGAGCGCAUCCGCGUAUGAAGGUACUCCCAGCUGCCGCUUCGGAACUGGCUCCGAAUGGAUACCCUUUCUUCACGCUGUUCUUCUACUGCGGGCUCUGCCCGCCUUUCUCUGAAUUUUUCUGCGAUAUCAUGAACACCUACGGGUUCCGCCUCCUUGACUUCACCCCCAAUGUUGUUCUGACCAUGGCAGUUUUCGCACAUCUCUGCGAAAACUUUGUCGGAGUCUAUCCAAACGUAGCUCUUUUUUGCCACUUCUUUAUGCCCCGAGUUGAGAGAGGGGAGCCUUUAUCUGGCGGAAUCGCCUGGAUCUCGAGAGCUGGCAAGAAGGAAGCUUAUCUGGAGGGAGAGCUCCGCAGCAAGUGGGAGGAAUGGAGAGAAGAAUGGUGCUAG
This 1368-nucleotide ribosomal RNA is filed under the name Triticum aestivum (bread wheat). Its description in RNAcentral is "partial small subunit ribosomal RNA". Lineage: Eukaryota; Viridiplantae; Streptophyta; Magnoliopsida; Poales; Poaceae. The record is from RNAcentral.